RNAcentral lists this ribosomal RNA (464 nucleotides) under uncultured bacterium. RNAcentral describes it as "partial 16S ribosomal RNA". It matches the Rfam family "Bacterial small subunit ribosomal RNA", at positions 338 to 795 of the family's 1533-position model. The record is from RNAcentral.
CCUACGGGGUGCAGCAGUAGGGAAUUUUCGUCAAUGGGCGCAAGCCUGAACGAGCAAUGCCGCGUGAACGAGGAAGGUCUUCGGAUCGUAAAGUUCUGUUGAAGGGGAAAAAGAGCGGAGAGAGGAAAUGGUCUCCGAUUGAUAUUACCCUUCGAGGCAGUCACGGCUAACUACGUGCCAGCAGCCGCGGUAAUACGUAGGUGGCGAGCGUUAUCCGGAAUGAUUGGGCGUAAAGGGUGCGUAGGCGGCCUGCUAAGUCUGGAGUGAAAGGUACCGGCUCAACCGGUACAGGCUCUGGAAACUGGCGGGCUAGAGAGCAGGAGAGGGCGGUGGAACUCCAUGUGUAGCGGUAAAAUGCGUAGAUAUAUGGAAGAACACCAGUGGCGAAGGCGGCCGCCUGGCCUGUGACUGACGCUGAGGCACGAAAGCGUGGGGAGCAAAUAGGAUUAGAUACCCCAGUAGUC